RNAcentral lists this small nucleolar RNA (45 nucleotides) under Macaca nemestrina (pig-tailed macaque). RNAcentral describes it as "Small nucleolar RNA SNORD113/SNORD114 family (ENSMNEG00000014351.1)". It matches the Rfam family "Small nucleolar RNA SNORD113/SNORD114 family", at positions 21 to 67 of the family's 74-position model. From Rfam's summary of the family: The imprinted human domain at 14q32 contains two clusters of tandemly repeated small nucleolar RNAs named 14q(I) and 14q(II) snoRNAs. These two clusters are named SNORD113 and SNORD114 respectively in the HGNC approved gene symbol nomenclature. The snoRNAs found in both clusters are clearly related and are represented here by a single family. Lineage: Eukaryota; Metazoa; Chordata; Mammalia; Primates; Cercopithecidae. The record is from RNAcentral.
GUGGCAUAUGAGUCUUAUAUAGUGAAUACGUGUUUGAAACUCUGA